AUUGAACGCUGGCGGCAGGCUUAACACAUGCAAGUCGAACGAUGAAACUCUAGCUUGCUAGAGAAGAUUAGUGGCGGACGGGUGAGUAACAUUUAGGAAUCUGCCUAGUAGUGGGGGAUAGCUCGGGGAAACUCGAAUUAAUACCGCAUACGACCUACGGGUGAAAGGGGGCGCAAGCUCUUGCUAUUAGAUGAGCCUAAAUCAGAUUAGCUAGUUGGUGGGGUAAAGGCCUACCAAGGCGACGAUCUGUAACUGGUCUGAGAGGAUGAUCAGUCACACCGGAACUGAGACACGGUCCGGACUCCUACGGGAGGCAGCAGUGGGGAAUAUUGGACAAUGGGGGCAACCCUGAUCCAGCCAUGCCGCGUGUGUGAAGAAGGCCUUUUGGUUGUAAAGCACUUUAAGCAGGGAGGAGAGGCUAAUGGUUAAUACCCAUUAGAUUAGACGUUACCUGCAGAAUAAGCACCGGCUAACUCUGUGCCAGCAGCCGCGGUAAUACAGAGGGUGCGAGCGUUAAUCGGAAUUACUGGGCGUAAAGCGAGUGUAGGUGGCUCAUUAAGUCACAUGUGAAAUCCCCGGGCUUAACCUGGGAACUGCAUGUGAUACUGGUGGUGCUAGAAUAUGUGAGAGGGAAGUAGAAUUCCAGGUGUAGCGGUGAAAUGCGUAGAGAUCUGGAGGAAUACCGAUGGCGAAGGCAGCUUCCUGGCAUAAUAUUGACACUGAGAUUCGAGAGCGUGGGUAGCAAACAGGAUUAGAUACCCUGGUAGUCCACGCCGUAAACGAUGUCUACUAGCCGUUGGGGUCCUUGAGACUUUAGUGGCGCGGUUAACGCGAUAAGUAGACCGCCUGGGGAGUACGGCCGCAAGGUUAAAACUCGAAUGAAUUGACGGGGGCCCGCACAAGCGGUGGAGCAUGUGGUUUAAUUCGAUGCAACGCGAAGAACCUUACCUGGUCUUGACAUAGUGAGAAUCCUGCAGAGAUGCGGGAGUGCCUUCGGGAACUCACAUACAGGUGCUGCAUGGCUGUCGUCAGCUCGUGUCGUGAGAUGUUGGGUUAAGUCCCGCAACGAGCGCAACCCUUUUCCUUAUUUGCCAGCGGGUUAAGCCGGGAACUUUAAGGAUACUGCCAGUGACAAACUGGAGGAAGGCGGGGACGACGUCAAGUCAUCAUGGCCCUUACGACCAGGGCUACACACGUGCUACAAUGGUAGGUACAGAGGGUUGCUACACAGCGAUGUGAUGCUAAUCUCAAAAAGCCUAUCGUAGUCCGGAUUGGAGUCUGCAACUCGACUCCAUGAAGUCGGAAUCGCUAGUAAUCGCAGAUCAGAAUGCUGCGGUGAAUACGUUCCCGGGCCU
This 1355-nucleotide ribosomal RNA is filed under the name uncultured bacterium. RNAcentral's name for it is "bacterial SSU rRNA". It matches the Rfam family "Bacterial small subunit ribosomal RNA", at positions 28 to 1381 of the family's 1533-position model. The record is from RNAcentral.